This 214-nucleotide long non-coding RNA is filed under the name Homo sapiens (human). RNAcentral's name for it is "HSALNT0279387". The record is from RNAcentral. Lineage: Eukaryota; Metazoa; Chordata; Mammalia; Primates; Hominidae.
CAGGCCUCUGCCACGAGGGCUGCCUUCCCCUGAGCUGGGAGUUCUCACUCAGCUCAUGCCUCCGUCCCUCUGGCUGCAGCCUGGCCGCCCUCCUUGGAAGUUGGCGGGGAACCUCUUGUGCCCAGAGCCUGCCUUGGACACGGUUUGGGGAUGAGGUGGGAAGGACCCUGCACUGUUCUGGGCUCCCCCAGCCACAGGUGUGGCCUCAAGCCAG